AGAUUGAACGCUGGCGGCAGGCCUAACACAUGCAAGUCGAGCGGCAGCACGGGUACUUGUACCUGGUGGCGAGCGGCGGACGGGUGAGUAAUGCCUAGGAAUCUGCCUGGUAGUGGGGGAUAACGCUCGGAAACGGACGCUAAUACCGCAUACGUCCUACGGGAGAAAGCAGGGGACCUUCGGGCCUUGCGCUAUCAGAUGAGCCUAGGUCGGAUUAGCUAGUUGGUGAGGUAAUGGCUCACCAAGGCGACGAUCCGUAACUGGUCUGAGAGGAUGAUCAGUCACACUGGAACUGAGACACGGUCCAGACUCCUACGGGAGGCAGCAGUGGGGAAUAUUGGACAAUGGGCGAAAGGCCUGAUCCAGCCAUGCCGCGUGUGUGAAGAAGGUCUUCGGAUUGUAAAGCACUUUAAGUGGAGGAAGGCAGUUACCUAAUACGUAUCUGUUUUGACGUUACGACAGAAUAAGCACCGGCUAACUCUGUG
RNAcentral lists this ribosomal RNA (485 nucleotides) under uncultured soil bacterium. RNAcentral's name for it is "bacterial SSU rRNA". It matches the Rfam family "Bacterial small subunit ribosomal RNA", at positions 26 to 507 of the family's 1533-position model. The record is from RNAcentral.